RNAcentral lists this ribosomal RNA (1391 nucleotides) under metagenome. RNAcentral describes it as "bacterial LSU rRNA". It matches the Rfam family "Bacterial large subunit ribosomal RNA", at positions 1457 to 2925 of the family's 2925-position model. The record is from RNAcentral.
AAUUUAAGCAAAGGGACACUUCAAAAGGGUGUGACCCGGGCGUUGGUUGACCCGGGCGUAAGGGACCGAAAUUAGAGUAGGGAAGCACACUUAGCUGAAGGCGAGAAAAGCUUUGCGUAUAGAAGCAGAUGCCCGUACCGCAAACCGACACAGGUGGACAGGAAGAGAAUUCUAAGGCCAGCGGGAGAAGGGUAGUUAAGGAACUCGGCAAAUUGACUCCGUAACUUCGGAAUAAGGAGUGCUCGAAAGAGCCGCAGAGAAUAGGCCCAGGCGACUGUUUAGCAAAAACACAGGUCUCUGCCAAAUCGAAAGAUGAAGUAUAGGGGCUGACACCUGCCCGGUGCCGGAAGGUUAAGAGGAGGAGUGAGAGCUCCGAAUUGAAGCCCCGGUAAACGGCGGCCGUAACAAUAACGGUCCUAAGGUAGCGAAAUUCCUUGUCGGGUAAGUUCCGACCCGCACGAAUGGUGUAACGAUCUGGGCACUGUCUCAACUACCCACCCGGCGAAAUUGUAGUACCGGUGAAGAUGCCGGUUACCUGCGGCAAGACGGAAAGACCCCAUGGAGCUUUACUGUAGCCUGAUAUUGGGUUUCGGAAAUCUAUGUACAGGAUAGGCGGGAGACUGGGAAACAUGAGCGUCAGCUUGUGUGGAGUCGAUGUUGGGAUACCGCCCUUAGGUUUCUGGAAUUCUCACCUGCGGCCGUGAAUCCGGUCGGGGGACAUUGUCAGGUGGGCAGUUUGACUGGGGCGGUCGCCUCCGAAAAGGUAACGGAGGCGCUCAAAGGUUAGCUCAGCACGGACGGAAACCGUGCCUCUGAGUGUAAACGCAAAAGCUAGCCUAACUGCGAGGGUGACGGCCCGAGCAGUAACGAAAGUUGGAGUUAGUGAUCCGGCGGUAUGUGAAUGGAAAUGCCGUCGCUCAACGGAUAAAAGCUACCCUGGGGAUAACAGGCUGAUCUCCCCCAAGAGUCCACAUCGACGGGGAGGUUUGGCACCUCGAUGUCGGCUCAUCACAUCCUGGGGCUGUAUUCGGUCCCAAGGGUUCGGCUGUUCGCCGAUUAAAGUGGUACGCGAGCUGGGUUCAGAACGUCGCGAGACAGUUCGGUCCCUAUCUGUCGUGGGCGCAGGAUAUUUGAGGAGCUCUGUCCUUAGUACGAGAGGACCGGGAUGGACGUACCUCUGGUGCACCAGUUGUCAUGCCAAUGGCACGGCUGGGCAGCUAUGUACGGAACGGAUAAACGCUGAAAGCAUCUAAGCGUGAAGCCGACUCCAAGAUUAGAUAUCCCAUCGUAUAACGAGUAAGACCCCUUGAAGACUACGAGGUUGAUAGGCUGCGUGUGUAAGUGCCGUGAGGCAUUCAGCUUGGCAGUACUAAUAGGUCGAGGGCUUGACU